UGGGGAAUUUUGGACAAUGGGGGAAACCCUGACCCAGCCAUCCCGCGUGUGCGAUGAAGGCCUUCGGGUUGUAAAGCACUUUUGGCAGGAAAGAAACGUCGCGGGUUAAUACCCCGCGAAACUGACGGUACCUGCAGAAUAAGCACCGGCUAACUACGUGCCAGCAGCCGCGGUAAUACGUAGGGUGCAAGCGUUAAUCGGAAUUACUGGGCGUAAAGCGUGCGCAGGCGGUUCGGAAAGAAAGAUGUGAAAUCCCAGAGCUUAACUUUGGAACUGCAUUUUUAACUACCGGGCUAGAGUGUGUCAGAGGGAGGUGGAAUUCCGCGUGUAGCAGUGAAAUGCGUAGAUAUGCGGAGGAACACCGAUGGCGAAGGCAGCCUCCUGGGAUAACACUGACGCUCAUGCACGAAAGCGUGGGGAGCAAACAGGAUUAGAUACCCUGGUAGUCCACGCCCUAAACGAUGUCAACUAGCUGUUGGGGCCUUCGGGCCUUGGUAGCGCAGCUAACGCGUGAAGUUGACCGCCUGGGGAGUACGGUCGC
Molecule: ribosomal RNA, 541 nt
Filed under: uncultured bacterium
Lineage: Bacteria
Description: partial 16S ribosomal RNA
Rfam family: Bacterial small subunit ribosomal RNA
Source: RNAcentral